GGAUUAGAUACCCUGGUAGUCCACCCCGUAAACGUUGGGAACUAGAUGUGGGGACCAUUCCACGGUCUCCGUGUCGCAGCUAACGCAUUAAGUUCCCCGCCUGGGGAGUACGGCCGCAAGGCUAAAACUCAAAGGAAUUGACGGGGGCCCGCACAAGCGGCGGAGCAUGCGGAUUAAUUCGAUGCAACGCGAAGAACCUUACCAAGGCUUGACAUAUACCGGAAACGGCGAGAGAUCGUCGCCCCGCAAGGUCGGUAUACAGGUGGUGCAUGGUUGUCGUCAGCUCGUGCC
RNAcentral lists this ribosomal RNA (291 nucleotides) under uncultured bacterium. RNAcentral describes it as "partial 16S ribosomal RNA". It matches the Rfam family "Bacterial small subunit ribosomal RNA", at positions 775 to 1066 of the family's 1533-position model. The record is from RNAcentral.